Long non-coding RNA from Peromyscus californicus insignis, 2035 nucleotides. RefSeq lists it as uncharacterized. The record is from RefSeq and is a predicted model, not a curated record. The transcript has 4 exons. NCBI's taxonomy places the organism in Eukaryota, Metazoa, Chordata, Mammalia, Rodentia, Cricetidae.
UCCAUCAGCUCUUGAUAGGACCAGUACCUGGGGACCAAGCAACCCUUCAACACAUGGAUCUCUGGGGAACACUCCAGAUUCACACUAUAGCACUGCCCCUACACCUGGCCCCAGUGGUUCCUCUUCUGUUUCAUCCCAGAAAAACUUUCCUAUCUCCACCAGGCAUCCUCACCAGGAUGCACUGACAGCAACCAGAGCAUCCAUGCACAGGAGGAUGUGUGGAUGAAUUGUGCUGUAUCCAGAUGGCCUCUGUCAGUGAAGAAAAAGGACAAUGACAUGCUAUGGACCCAAGGGAAGUGGCAAGAACAGUCCAGAGGUUUGGGAGAGUUGUAAGAAGAGCAGCUACAGCAGACAGACAACCAUGUCCCUGCUGGAGGUGGCUUGGCAGGUCUGCCCCACUGGCCACUAGACUGUACUGCUGUGGCCAGCACAGGCCGAGUGGUUUCUCGUGAGUUAACUGCCUUUUCAACCAGUGAUCCUGAUGCUUUGCCAUAUGGAGAUCCUGGACCCGGGGAGGCUGCUCUUACAGGGAAGAGUAGAGGAUUGUCUGCACACAAGCCUUCCUUGAGUGAAGCCGGUAGCAGGCCACCAAUAUUUUGAGACAGCCCUUAACCCAGAGCCUACCAAGGCCCUCCAUUCUAGCUGGCUUGCCCCCUGGUCUCUGGCCUCACCCCUCCCGACCCACUGUCAAAGCCUCUUCCAUACUCGAAAUCGCACUUUAUGAAGACCCAAGAGCCAUGGCACACACCAGCAUUGCCAGAAGCGCCAGACAGCCUAUCUCCAUGAAGCAGACACAACCAAGGGGAACGGCCAGAGGACAAACCCCUUCCUCUUCUGUUCCACUCCAGAGAAAGGAACCUGGGCUCUCACUAAACAAGGAAAGUGAAGACAUCCAGGAACCCCAAGGGCCCUGGGACAAAGUCUGGAAUUGCUGCGUUCCCGUAAAGCAGGAGACCCAGAGCUCUGCAGCUGCUGCUCCUCUGGAGAGGAGACUACUCAGACCUACACUCAGCCCAGUGUGCCUCAGUUUUUUUGUGGAGUACCUAGAGCUCAGUAAGCAUUGACGUGGUAACUGCAGUCCUGCGUGAUUGGUGUGGAGACUCUCUCCAGUGGUUCUAAGGAUGGGAUCUGGAACCUCGUACUUGUUAGGCAAGUACUCUGCCACUGAAGCAUCCCUCCUCCGUCCUGUAGAUUAUGUAAUCUGAAGGAAUGACAGUAGAACCCGCAGCUACAGGUUGACCACCCCUCUGUUUACACGGCACCUGGCUGAUUUCAGCCCAGUGUCUGACACUGCGUACAGUGUUCUUCCCAGGCCAGCAUCUGCGACCUUCCAGGAAUGGUCCCAGAGUUCCGUGCCCCUGGGGCCUCCCCAGCCCCUUGAACUCUUCCCAAGGGUGCCCAGCUGAGUCACGGGUAUGCCCUGUGCCCCCCACUCCUGGGCCCUAGGCUCAAAAGCAGCAAUGUAGGACCCAUGCCAGCCUCCAGCACGUCACAUGGGGCGUACCUGCAUGUGCCUGGACACUCUUCUCGUCAGCAUCUGGUGAUUAGGAAGUCAUUCUCCAUGUGGGACGAGAUCUAAUCAGCCUGCCGAUAAUCACCAGGCCCAGAACGUGGCCGCAAUUCAGGAAAGACGAUCCCCGAAGACAAGCACCACUUAAAUCCUGGCACUGACCACAGUCCCCUUGGUAACCCGUGCUUCUGAGCACGAUUUAGCCAGUGAGCUAAUUGAUGUUCUCCUGGGCAGUCAGCUCGUGCCCGGCAAUCGAAAUGGACGCUAAUUGCUGACAUCCUUCAGGUAAGAAGCCCUUCGUGUUCUUGGGCCACCCAAGAGGCCCGGAGCAGGAACUGAGUCUCUCAGCAAAUCGGUGCCAUGAUUGCAAAUAAUUAAUCGAAACAAGGUUUGCAGAAAGAAUUAAUUACAGAACCUAUCAGAGGAAAUGGUGGCUUCACUGGAUGGGAGAGGCUGGCUUCUCACAGAAGCUCAAAGCAAGAUGUAGGUAAUACAAAAAUAAACAUUUUUAAAGUGCUCCUGGUA